AACCCCGCUCGCCGGUGGUGCGCCGUGUCCCCAGGACGUUCUAUUGGAUUCGCGAUUCGGCGUGACCCUGCACUCCAGUUCGCUAUUUUUCACUCAUUCCGGUCGGUUCCUCGCGUCCGAGGAAGGGGAUAAAUCAUCACCGCUGAGCAACCUCGCCGGAGCAGCGGGCAGCUUCGAGAAGGUAAGGGUGGGGCAUAAGAGGCAGACGCUGGUGGCGAUGGCCUCCUCGUCGACCGCGGCGGUGGAGUCGGCCGCUUCAGGUCGCUGGAGACGGGGGUGCGAGCGUGGAUGGAGAAGCUGCCCACCCACAUCGAGGUCACGGUGUUCGGGGCCGUGCAGGGUGGCGCGCUCGGCGGGCUGAUGCGCACGUUCACGCCGGAAAUAUCGGCAGACGGCUCUCCGUGCCGUAGGCGCCGCCCAGGCUCGACUCCAUGGCCCUGCCAUCCUUGGAGCAAGUGCAGGUUCCCUCCUCCUCAUGUAUAGUUCCCCUCUUGUUACAGAUUUUCACGGGGACUAUCAAUUUUUGUAAUUCCUGUGAUACUUUUGUCAAAGAUUGCAAAUGCUUUUGAGUUCAGUCCCAGUGACGAAUUUGUUCUCACAUAUACCGAUGAUGAUGCAAUUGAUUAUUUCUUGUUCCUUGUUCAUAGCUUGUUCAGCCAGUAGGUGCAAUCGAAUUAUUAUUUGUUAAUGUCCAAACUAAAAUCAGUAGUUAGUAUCUCAUUUAGAGAUGUAUUAUGUUUUCCUGACUGAUGCACCGUAUAAGCUGACUCUAAUUCAUGAAAUCUCCAUUGCAAGUUAUAGAGAAGCAGUAAAUUACUCUCAUCAGCUAGGCAUCAAGCAGAUUACAGCCCAUUGCAAGUUAUGGAGAAGCAGUAAGUUACUCUCAUCAGCUAGGCAUCGAGCAAAUUCAGUCCAUUGCAAGGUUUGCAGCUGGGAGAAUCCCAGAGAUUUAGAGUACCGCUUCAACAAGUUUCCGCUGAUUCAGCUGUAGUACCAAACUUUUUUGAUGGAUUCUGUUGGUUAAAUGUAUUAUGGAGAGCUUCCGCCUCCCUGUGGUGAUUCAGCUGGAUUUCCGUUAAACGGUUGAGGAAAGGCUCGUCGAGUCUCCAAUGGUUUUCUUUUCCAAGCGCCAGAUGCUCGCCGAUAUGGGUCGUGUGGAAGAAAAUUGUCCAAGCGCCCGACAAUUGAUUAAAUCUGUGCAGCAGAGCAGAAGGGAUGUGGGUCACGGCAUUGUGCUAGUGUUGCACUGCAGAAGAGGAGAUAACUUAACUCGAUGCAUAUCUGUCAUGAGGAGAUUUGCUUCAAUUGGAUUCCGACCAAGGUCAGAGUUCAUCAGGUCACCAUGGAGGGAUCAAAAAACUGAGUGUUCAGGAGGUACCAGUUGGUCAACAAUAAUGAACCCCAAUUCAUGCACAUUCUAUUAUUGGUCCUUGUUCUCCAAGAUCCGCAAAGCAUGCACAAGAGGAUUCCGUCAAAAUCGAGGAGCGGGGAGCCUUCCUUCUGUAGCGCCGUAAGGACUUGCAACGCCGAGGGCAUGAUUCCUGAGUUGUUCUCACGCAUCUCCGUGAUGGUAUCCAUCAGUUUGUGUUGGUCCUGGUGGCACCAUGUGUUGUACCUCUUGGGCCUCUUGGACCUCUUGGUGGAGGUGUCGUUGGUGUCGCCAUCCUCAGGUGACUCACCGGGGUUGGUGUCGCCAUCCUCAGGUGAGUCACCGGGGUUGGUGUCGCCAUCCUCAGGUGAGUCGCCGGACAGGGGCGAAGCUGGACCAAAAGAUCAUUGGGUUCAGCUCUACUAGUUAUGUGAUAAUCAUCUACUAAUGAGACAAGUUAAACAGCAAACUAGUGAAGGUUUCAUGAAAUUCGUUGGGUUCAACUAUACCAGCUCCGCCACUGUCGCCGGAGAUCAUCUCGCCAGCCUCGUCAUCAGAGAGAACGACGAUUUGGUCGUCAGGUUCGACCAUUAUCACGUCGCCCUCAUCAUCGGAGAGAUCGAUGACUUGUCGGGAUUGGUCGUCCUCGUCGUCAGAGAUGAGAAUCAGAUUGUCAGAGAAGCUACGAGGAUUAAAGAGUGGGAUUGUGGGAGCCAUAGGUACGGCAAAUGGUGGUGGUACAGCACGGCAAUUGGUGGUGGUAGAGCACGGCAAAUGGUGGUGGUACAGCACAGCAAAUGGUGGUGGUAGAGCACGGCAAAUGGUGGUGGUACAGCACAGCAAAUGGUGGUCUCGGGCCUCUUCUAUUUAUAUGCUAUAGGAGGCGCUGGAGCAGUUUAGCGCUGCUAAUUGGAUUGGCGGGAAGGAUAGAUCAAGGUUGGCGCCAAACCGUGAAAACUUGAAUCGACUGGACCAAAUCCUGCAUUAAUACAAAUUUUCAGCUCGCCCGAUACAAUCGGUUAAACUGAAUUCUAUACCAUAAGUAUCCUUUUCACAAAUUACAUGUGUGUUCAUAAAAAAAAACGAUUCCAUGUACAUAUCAAUUCGCCUGAUUGGUUUCCAUCAAUUUUCAUUGGGCAAGA
Non-coding RNA from Lolium perenne, 2511 nucleotides. The record is from RefSeq and is a predicted model, not a curated record. NCBI's taxonomy places the organism in Eukaryota, Viridiplantae, Streptophyta, Magnoliopsida, Poales, Poaceae.